CCACAGGUAGAAGCAGCCCAGCAAGCAGGAGGAAAUAUUUCCAAGUCGACAGAUGCAGGAACUGAAAAAGGAGGUCACGAUGCUGAGAGAAUAGAUUUAACCCUUUGGUUCCCUGGGAACCGCGAAGACUACGGGGAGCGAGCGCGGCAGAGCCCCCCGGGGUUGGGGGAUUCUUUGAACGAGGCGGGUGUCUCCGGCGGGAAGGUCUCCCAGUCCUCGCAGGGCUCCCUCCAGCCCUCGGAUCGUGCCAGACUUCUCCAGACAGCCCAGCCACCCCGUCACGAAGAAACUGCUCUGCGGCUGCACCCAACACCUUCACCACCCGGAACCCGCAAUCCUCCUCCAUUUGGUUUCCUUCCAAGGCUCCUGCCCGCGGACAGUGAUUGGCAGACCUCGUCAAAAACGGACCCCAAGCCCAACUUUGCAACGCUCCCUCCGCGCAGCCCCCGCCUCCUUCUCCUCAGGCCGGCCGCGUCUGGGCUCCAGCCCCUCAGCCUCUGGCGCGCGGAGGCCCCGGAGCCCGCGCCCCCGGCCCGGGGCCUGCGGGGGGCUGCAGACAAAGAGGCUGCGGCGCCGCCGCGGCCGCCCGGACCGUCCCCUCGGGGACGGUUCCGCGCCCCCCAACCCCGCUCUCGCGCCGCCGCCGCCUCGCCUCACCGGUGGCCCGGGGGCCCGGGCUCCCGAGCCCGCCGCUGCAGCCGCCCGACGAACAAUAGCAGGAGAAGGCGCCGGCGCCGAGACUCGGGCC
RNAcentral lists this long non-coding RNA (748 nucleotides) under Lynx pardinus (Iberian lynx). The record is from RNAcentral. Lineage: Eukaryota; Metazoa; Chordata; Mammalia; Carnivora; Felidae.